CAAACAACCAAAACCCACUUCCUUUCUCUUUUUCCAGACCUGGGUUUUAUUCAAUUUCGUCUCUUUUUUUACUUCUUUUGCUCGUUAUGGAGCUACCCACUGGACCUGGACAUAGAUCCAGUCCCAUGAGACCUCAAUCUGAGGAUACUGUGUUUGAUUCACUCCAAUUUGGCGAAGAUAUCCAGCACUUAAUCUCCGUGCCGCCGGAAAAUGCCAGCUCCUUCACUGCCCUUCUCGAGUUGCCGCCUAAUCAGGCCGUGGAGCUUCUACACUCGCCUGAUUCAACUCUCAGAACCCGAACCGUUAUCGAGACCCACCAUCAAAAACCGUAUCUACAGCCCCAGUUCAAUGCUGCGAAUUUGGCGUUUCCUACUAACAGUGGUUUGAUAGAGCGAGCCGCAAGAUUGUCGGUGUUCGCUGGUGAGAAUUUGAACAAUAUUAGCAAUAAUUCGCCGGAGACGAGCUCAGGACCGUCGAAUUCCA
Molecule: unclassified non-coding RNA, 483 nt
Filed under: Hevea brasiliensis (rubber tree)
Lineage: Eukaryota; Viridiplantae; Streptophyta; Magnoliopsida; Malpighiales; Euphorbiaceae
Source: RNAcentral